RNAcentral lists this ribosomal RNA (477 nucleotides) under uncultured bacterium. Its description in RNAcentral is "partial 16S ribosomal RNA". It matches the Rfam family "Bacterial small subunit ribosomal RNA", at positions 30 to 507 of the family's 1533-position model. The record is from RNAcentral.
AUUGAACGCUGGCGGCAUGCCUUACACAUGCAAGUCGAACGGUAACAGGUUAAGCUGACGAGUGGCGAACGGGUGAGUAAUACAUCGGAACGUGCCCAGUAGUGGGGGAUAGCCCGGCGAAAGCUGGAUUAAUACCGCAUACGACCUAAGGGUGAAAGGGGGGGAUCGCAAGACCUCUCGCUAUUGGAGCGGCCGAUGUCAGAUUAGCUAGUUGGUGGGGUAAAAGCUCACCAAGGCGACGAUCUGUAGCUGGUCUGAGAGGACGACCAGCCACACUGGGACUGAGACACGGCCCAGACUCCUACGGGAGGCAGCAGUGGGGAAUUUUGGACAAUGGGCGCAAGCCUGAUCCAGCCAUGCCGCGUGCGGGAAGAAGGCCUUCGGGUUGUAAACCGCUUUUGUCAGGGAAGAAAUCCUUUGGGUUAAUACCUCGGGGGGAUGACGGUACCUGAAGAAUAAGCACCGGCUAACUACGUG